This 490-nucleotide ribosomal RNA is filed under the name uncultured bacterium. RNAcentral's name for it is "partial 16S ribosomal RNA". It matches the Rfam family "Bacterial small subunit ribosomal RNA", at positions 30 to 507 of the family's 1533-position model. The record is from RNAcentral.
AUUGAACGCUGGCGGCAGGCCUAACACAUGCAAGUCGAACGGUAACAGGAAGAAGCUUGCUUCUUUGCUGACGAGUGGCGGACGGGUGAGUAAUGUCUGGGAAACUGCCUGAUGGAGGGGGAUAACUACUGGAAACGGUAGCUAAUACCGCAUAACGUCGCAAGACCAAAGAGGGGGACCUUCGGGCCUCUUGCCAUCGGAUGUGCCCAGAUGGGAUUAGCUAGUAGGUGGGGUAACGGCUCACCUAGGCGACGAUCCCUAGCUGGUCUGAGAGGAUGACCAGGCACAAUGGAACUGAGGAAAGGUCCAGGCUCCUAAGGGAGGGAGCAGUGGGGAAUAUUGCACAAUGGGCGGAAGCCUGAUGCAGCCAUGCCGGGUGUAUGAAGAAGGCCUUCGGGUUGUAAAGUACUUUCAGCGGGGAGGAAGGGAGUAAAGUUAAUACCUUUGCUCAUUGACGUUACCCGCAGAAGAAGCACCGGCUAACUCCGUG